CUCAGAUUGAACGCUGGCGGCAGGCCUAACACAUGCAAGUCGAGCGGUAGAGAGAAGCUUGCUUCUCUUGAGAGCGGCGGACGGGUGAGUAAUGCCUAGGAAUCUGCCUGGUAGUGGGGGAUAACGUUCGGAAACGGACGCUAAUACCGCAUACGUCCUACGGGAGAAAGCAGGGGACCUUCGGGCCUUGCGCUAUCAGAUGAGCCUAGGUCGGAUUAGCUAGUUGGUGAGGUAAUGGCUCACCAAGGCGACGAUCCGUAACUGGUCUGAGAGGAUGAUCAGUCACACUGGAACUGAGACACGGUCCAGACUCCUACGGGAGGCAGCAGUGGGGAAUAUUGGANNNUGGGCGAAAGCCUGAUCCAGCCAUGCCGCGUGUGUGAAGAAGGUCUUCGGAUUGUAAAGCACUUUAAGUUGGGAGGAAGGGCAGUUACCUAAUACGUGAUUGUUUUGACGUUACCGACAGAAUAAGCACCGGCUAACUCUGUGCCAGC
Molecule: ribosomal RNA, 494 nt
Filed under: Pseudomonas sp.
Lineage: Bacteria; Pseudomonadati; Pseudomonadota; Gammaproteobacteria; Pseudomonadales; Pseudomonadaceae
Description: bacterial SSU rRNA
Rfam family: Bacterial small subunit ribosomal RNA
Source: RNAcentral